AUUGAACGCUGGCGGCAUGCCUUACACAUGCAAGUCGAACGGCAGCACGGAGCUUGCUCUGGUGGCGAGUGGCGAACGGGUGAGUAAUAUAUCGGAACGUACCCAAGAGUGGGGGAUAACGUAGCGAAAGUUACGCUAAUACCGCAUACGAUCUAAGGAUGAAAGUGGGGGAUCGCAAGACCUCAUGCUCCUGGAGCGGCCGAUAUCUGAUUAGCUAGCUGGUGAGGUAAAGGCUCACCAAGGCAUCGAUCAGUAGCUGGUCUGAGAGGACGACCAGCCACACUGGAACUGAGACACGGUCCAGACUCCUACGGGAGGCAGCAGUGGGGAAUUUUGGACAAUGGGGGCAACCCUGAUCCAGCAAUGCCGCGUGAGUGAAGAAGGCCUUCGGGUUGUAAAGCUCUUUUGUCAGGGAAGAAACGGUGAAGGCUAAUAUCCUUUGCUAAUGACGGUACCUGAAGAAUAAGCACCGGCUAACUACGUGCCAGCCGCCGCAGUAA
This 500-nucleotide ribosomal RNA is filed under the name uncultured bacterium. Its description in RNAcentral is "partial 16S ribosomal RNA". It matches the Rfam family "Bacterial small subunit ribosomal RNA", at positions 30 to 523 of the family's 1533-position model. The record is from RNAcentral.